Molecule: transfer-messenger RNA, 371 nt
Filed under: Pontivivens insulae
Lineage: Bacteria; Pseudomonadati; Pseudomonadota; Alphaproteobacteria; Rhodobacterales; Paracoccaceae
Description: Alphaproteobacteria transfer-messenger RNA
Rfam family: Alphaproteobacteria transfer-messenger RNA
About the family: Bacterial tmRNA, also known as 10Sa RNA or SsrA, is named for its dual tRNA and mRNA-like properties. Its role is to liberate the mRNA from a stalled ribosome.
Source: Rfam by way of RNAcentral
GUACUUGCCGACAGCGCCCAGAAACACUACUUACGACAUGUUCCUUUGGGGACUAUGGCGAUAAACGCGCAUGUAAUAAGCGGCUCGGACCCGGGGGCGGUACCCGGCGGCUCCACCAAUCACGGCUAUGCUGUGAUCACCCCGGUCAUUUGGCGGGCGGAUGGGGCCGAAACAGGAUCGACGGACGUCUAAAGAUGUUGCUUUCGCUCGGUGAGAUACCACCGUUAUCGGUUCAAACAGUAUAGUUGCAAAUGACAACCAUGCUCCGGUCGCAGUCGCCGCGUAAGCGGUGCCUAAGAUCGAAACUUAAGUCUUAGCGCCUAGCAGCGUUAAGCGGGGUUCGCAGGCACCUGGCAACAGAAGCCUGCACU